This 253-nucleotide ribosomal RNA is filed under the name uncultured bacterium. RNAcentral's name for it is "partial 16S ribosomal RNA". It matches the Rfam family "Bacterial small subunit ribosomal RNA", at positions 524 to 776 of the family's 1533-position model. The record is from RNAcentral.
UACGUAGGGCGCAAGCGUUAUCCGGAAUUAUUGGGCGUAAAGCGCUCGUAGGCGGUUUGUCGCGUCUGCCGUGAAAGUCCGGGGCUCAACUCCGGAUCUGCGGUGGGUACGGGCAGACUAGAGUGAUGUAGGGGAGACUGGAAUUCCUGGUGUAGCGGUGAAAUGCGCAGAUAUCAGGAGGAACACCGGUGGCGAAGGCGGUUCUCUGGGCAUUACCUGACGCUGAGGAGCGAAAGUGUGGGGAGCGAACAGG